Anguilla rostrata (American eel) is the source of this 4462-nucleotide long non-coding RNA. RefSeq lists it as uncharacterized. The record is from RefSeq and is a predicted model, not a curated record. NCBI's taxonomy places the organism in Eukaryota, Metazoa, Chordata, Actinopteri, Anguilliformes, Anguillidae. The transcript is spliced from 2 exons.
AUAGGUUUAGCAGUGGUUAUGUGCCUGUAGGUUAGCUACAGUUAUGUACCUGUAGGUAUACCUGCAGUUAUGUUCCUGUAGGUUAGCUGCACUUAUGUACCUGUAGGUUUAGCAGCAGUUAUGUACCCUUUUCCUGCAAUCUGUCCCAGUGCCUGUGACCCAGCCAGGCUCCUAGCAGUUUUAUGGAUUUCCUUGAUUUCCUGUGAGAACGUGGAUACAAUGUGUGGACAGGUUCAUAGGCCGAACCCUGUAGGAGUCCCCUCCUGACAGAAUGGAAACCACCCCUGUGGCCGUGAGAUGUGACCCUGUCAGGCAAGGGGACAUAAUACAACGUAGUACAUCAUAGUAUAGAGGCACAGCCAGCUAUUCCACACAACACCGCGGCAUAUUUUUAAAUACAUAUUUUGCACAACUUUUUUCUUUUUCAUAAUCAAAUUUUUUAUAGACCAGUACAACCGUAAUAGCAAAGGCAACCAAUUCCCCAUAUAAUGUCAUAAGAAAUUAAGAAGAGAGAAAUCAGUUGUAAGUGUUGACUGCCCUGUUAAAAUGGAUCCUACCCACUAGCGUGCAAGUUUGGUUUAAUUAGUAGUUGAAAAUUAUUGAUAUUGAUUUACUUAAUGUAAUAAUUAAAAACAAAUUAGCAUGAAUGAUUCUACACCUUCAUGUGAAAUUGAUAUUCUAUAUGCAUUAUUGGAAAUUAUAUUUGAUUACAAUUUAUGUAACUGCAUGCCAUUGAUUUUUAAUGAAUGCUAACAAAAAUAAUUUGACAAUACAUGACACAGACGUUUAUUGAUGUAAAAUUACAUAUCUCACCAUUUUCUGCCAAGUAGUUAAUUCAAUUCAGAAUAUAAUAACUUAGUUAAAUAACCAAAGGACACAGAGUUGCACGUAAAGAGAAUGCAAAAAGAAAGCAUUUGAAGGAAAAAAACCUCUAGAUUACAGUGUAGAAGAUAAACUAUAAAAUAAAUAAUGUACCAUGAGGACGUCUAAUCUAAUGAGUAAUAUAUGUUUGUAUAUUUUUGAAAACAUACAUAAUUGUAUAUGAAUAUAUCCAAGUUUAUUUGUGCUUCUUUACAUUAUUAGUAUAGUGUGUUUAUUGGUUUAAAAUGUGAUGAAAUUCACAGAGUUUAUUUUUAGACUUUUACGGGAAUUGCUUUGUGAUGCAGGCCGGGAGAGAGGCCUGGGCCAAAGCUGGAAACUUGGAUCUGAACACAGCAAUCCCAGACACAGGGAGUCAGACUGCGGUUCCACCCUGACAUGUCUGGAUUUUCCAAAGCUGCAGCUUGGCCAAAACGAUGGGUGUGUGCAUGGUUUGGCUGUUGCUUGUUAAAGAGAUCUGAUCCGCUUUGACAAGUUUUUCACUAUGCAUUCCAGAACACCGGAUUCCAGUGAGUGCAGCUCCAUCAUCUUGCUUUUUUCUUACGGACAGACACUUUGAGGAGAUUUAUUCCUGUUGAGAGGGAAAUUAGUCUCGGGGGCUUGUGCCAGGAACAAUGGCUGGAGGCUUUUAUUUUUAAAAAUCUUAUAUGGAGUAUUGAUGUGGGGUGCCGGACCCCUCAAGCUACGUUUCAUAAUCAUGCCCACCAUUGUGAGCAGUUACACUCAUCCACUGGAGCACCUGGUGUUAGGCAGUGGAGAACCAUGUGUCCAUCUAAAAUGUAUCAUUGCUUUUCCUUUUACUGAAGGACUUGGGUGAAGCGAGAAAUGGGACAAAAGAGAAAAGUUUUCCCAGGCUGUCUGUCAUGGGCCUGACGGUACCUGCUCACGUGCCCAUGUGAGUGUUCUGAUUGGAUUAACCGGGAGAUUGAGGUCAGGGUCAUUAAGAUCUGCCUGGACCCAAAAAGGAAAUGAAGUCUGUGUGAGGACCCGCUCUCCCUCUCUCUCUCCCCCUGCACCAAGACUCGUUCUUACAAAGGGAACUGCAAUGCGUGACGACAUACAGCAUUGCUACCCCAGCUCUCAAUCUCGUGACCCCAGCCCCCCAAGUCCCCCUCCCCCAUUCCCUUUUUGUGCCUUUUAUUUACUUCCGUGGUCAGUCCAUUAUACUUAAACAUCUCACAGGAGCAUUUUUACAGCAUCGGUGCCUUGCCUCCGAGAGCAUUGCUGGUGUAAUCAUUAACAAGUCAGGCUUUUAAGUAUGUGGGAAUCCUUUCCUGGCGUUUCCAAAGCCCCUGCACCCAAUAGAGGUUUCGCUUUUUCCAGUUCACACCAGCUGCAUGGUAUGCCUGGGCUCUGAUAACAUAUGUUCAUAUUUAUAGAACAAGAGGCACCCAAACUCAAACUAGCAUUUCUCACUAUUGGCACCACGCUAUGUUUUGGUUUGUUGUUGCCAUGGUAAUAAAAAAAACAUUUUCAACAUAAAGACAAAUUACUAACAUGCACAAUCCAUAUACUCAAUCCACCUAAAAAAAACAAUUCUUAAAAAUGUGUGAUUUUAUUUAUGUCAAAAUGAUGCCAAGUUCCUACUAAAUUUUCCCAAAUGGUUGACAGAAAAACAGGUCAUAUCCCAAUUCAGUGAUGCCUGUUUCCUAUUUUGUUCAACAUGGGCCUUAGUUAAUGUUACGGAAGGUGAUUUUUCCCACAUUGCCACAUGUUUUUAUUUGUAUUGUAUGUAAGGGUAUUUUCUGUACUUGCAUGAUGUAAACAGAUAAAACAAAACAAACAAAUUGCCUGAUUGGCUUCACCAGCCUGUGGCCCUACAUAAGCCUGCUGCAGCUGAAGGUGAGUGAAGCUUUUGUGGUGCAGUUUUGUGGCUGAAUCCUGCACAAUGUUCUAGACUUUUGGCUAUUUAUUUGUUUCUUUUUGUAUGGUGUUUGGACGGUGAAUGUUCAUGUUCUUUUCAUGCACAUGUUUUGGUUAGGUUUUAGGACAGAGUAGGAAACCUGCGGAAGACUCACCAUUUUUUGUUUUCAUCGGGAGAAAGAUGACUAUUUGUUGCCGACUAGGGUUAGUAGUCUUGGACCCUGCUUUGGCCUUACCUGUUUUGUCCAACACCUACAACUGUUUUUGUGAAUGUGUUUGGUUAUAGUAUGUUGGGGGAAAUUUAUUUUGCACUUUGUUUUGUUAUGGGCACAAGGGACUUAGUUGCGUUCCAUUUCGCAUUGUUGUUGUGGGCAGAUUUGGGACGUAACAAGUUAACAAAUGAGCGAUAGCUGACAAUGGGAGUAUGAUGGGAACAAUGGCAGCUAGAAAGUUUUUGUUUUACUCAUAUGUAGCCAUAAUUUUCAUGUUGAUUAAACUUAUAGCAAAAACGUUAUGCUAAUAGGCUGGCAGCAGGCAUACAAUACAGGAAUCAUGGGCUACUUGGCUGUUGCAAUAUAGAUCUAUGUAACUAAAUUAACAUCUGUAAUUUAGGUUGAUAGUGAUUUUACAACAAAAUACAGGGCCAUACAGUGUAGCAGUUUUGUGCUUGGCACCUUGUUUAGUAUGUAAAUGAAGCUCACCACUCACCACUGGAGUUAGCCAAGGAAACACUGGCAGCUAGUAAUUUUUUGUUCUUUAUUUGGCUGAAAUGGCAUGUGCACAUCCUUACGUCGUGUGUGUGUAUAUAUGUAUAUCCCCACUCACACUACAUGGUCAAAAGUAUGUGGACACCUGACAUCCAACAUCACCAAACUUUUUGGCCAUUAUAUGAAGGUGGUCAAUCCUUUGCUUUUAUAACAAUCACUACUCUCCAGAGAAGGCUUUAUAUUAGAUGUUGGAGCAUUGCUGCUGGGAUUUGCUUUCUUUCAGCCAGAAGAGCAUUGGUGAGGUUGGGCACUGAUAAGGCCUCACACUUGGCUUUACAAUUGAAAGUAGACAAAGAAAAGGAAAAUGCACAAAGUGACCACAAUUUGGGGCUUUAUUUUGCGAUUGUUUGAUACAUUUCAAUUCUUUGGGUGGAAUACACAAAAUUAUUUUGAUCAGAAAAACAAUGCAUAGGACUCAUAAAACAACUGCAGUGGAUGGAAAUGGUAUGCAAAUGCACUACCAGGCAAAUACCAAGACAGUGUGCCAUCUCAGUCACACAUAUUUAAAUUAUGUAUUCUAAAUAAAUGAAUGCAUCAAAUGGACAAGUGCAAUAGCCUUCAGGACAUGUCUGAUCCAUACGAUUACAAAGUCACCAAAAAGAUUUUGGUUUUAUAUCCAUUUUAGAUGACCUGAUAUCCAGCAGUAAAACACCGCAGUCUAUUUGAAAGCCAUAAAAUGCAUAUACUUGACCACAUGGGAGCUGUCAUAGUUGCAAGAGGAAGACACCACAAACAUGUUAAACAUGCAAGUCAUUGAAAUAGAAAGAGAAAAUGUUCAUCAUUACAGGCUAGCACAUGCAGUACUAUGCUUGCUUGAUGACAGUGAUGACAUCAAAUCUGUCCCUGUAAUUUGUUUUCCACCAUAAUUUAAGCGGGCUAUUUCACUGUACAGAGACAAAUAUUUAGACAGCUCCAAGAACCAUGUCACUUUAUUAAAAAUGAUUCAAUUGAAA